This 497-nucleotide ribosomal RNA is filed under the name uncultured bacterium. Its description in RNAcentral is "partial 16S ribosomal RNA". It matches the Rfam family "Bacterial small subunit ribosomal RNA", at positions 28 to 507 of the family's 1533-position model. The record is from RNAcentral.
GAUGAACGCUGGCGGCGUGCCUAAUACAUGCAAGUCGAGCGAACGGACGAGAAGCUUGCUUCUCUGAUGUUAGCGGCGGACGGGUGAGUAACACGUGGAUAACCUACCUAUAAGACUGGGAUAACUUCGGGAAACCGGAGCUAAUACCGGAUAAUAUUUUGAACCGCAUGGUUCAAAAGUGAAAGACGGUCUUGCUGUCACUUAUAGAUGGAUCCGCGCUGCAUUAGCUAGUUGGUAAGGUAACGGCUUACCAAGGCAACGAUGCAUAGCCGACCUGAGAGGGUGAUCGGGCACACUGGAACUGAGACACGGUCCAGACUCCUACGGGAGGCAGCAGUAGGGAAUCUUCCGCAAUGGGCGAAAGCCUGACGGAGCAACGCCGCGUGAGUGAUGAAGGUCUUCGGAUCGUAAAACUCUGUUAUUAGGGAAGAGCAUAUGUGUAAGUAACUGUGCACAUCUUGACGGUACCUAAUCAGAAAGCCACGGCUAACUACGUG